Non-coding RNA from Paramuricea clavata, 512 nucleotides. The record is from the annotation of a GenBank genome assembly. Lineage: Eukaryota; Metazoa; Cnidaria; Anthozoa; Malacalcyonacea; Plexauridae.
CCCAAUGGAUUGACAUACGAAAGACACAAAACAACACACGCAUUAUAUGCGUGCACCUAAUGAGUAAUGUACAAUAUUUUACGGCAUGGUUUACUUUACAGACCCCGUUGAAGAUAUAAGAAAUGCAUUAAAUAAAUAAUGCUUAUGAACUAAGGCACAAACGAGAGAUCCCAGACGCAUGUAGAGGUCCUAUUACCUAUCCCAAAAUUAAAAUAAAUUGGGAAUAAAUCACGUAAAAUUAAACAAACGUUAGAAAGUAACGAAAUAUUUCGCAAAAAAUGAAAAUAACGAAGUAAAACGUUACUUCUUAAAACCACUUCCUUCCAAGUAAAAGUAGCCCAGAUGGCCCAGAAAAAGUUACAUGCUGACUUCUCAGAAAUAGUAUUCAAGUACAGUAACGAAGUACAUUUACUUCUUUACUUGACACCACUGAUUAUCGUGAAAUUAGGCAAAACAGGUUCUUAAAUAGGUUCUUGUUUUCUAAAGAAAAAGCGACUCAAUUUCGGUUGGUG